This 583-nucleotide ribosomal RNA is filed under the name uncultured bacterium. RNAcentral describes it as "bacterial SSU rRNA". It matches the Rfam family "Bacterial small subunit ribosomal RNA", at positions 335 to 919 of the family's 1533-position model. The record is from RNAcentral.
AUUCCUACGGGAGGCAGCAGUAGGGAAUAUUGGUCAAUGGGCGGAAGCCUGAACCAGCCAUGCCGCGUGCAGGAUGACGGCCUUCUGGGUUGUAAACUGCUUUUAUCAGGGAAGAAAACGGCCAUGCGUGGCAGAUUGACGGUACCUGAAGAAUAAGCACCGGCUAACUCCGUGCCAGCAGCCGCGGUAAUACGGAGGGUGCAAGCGUUGUCCGGAUUUAUUGGGUUUAAAGGGUGCGUAGGCGGAUUAUUAAGUCAGUGGUGAAAGUUUGCGGCUCAACCGUAAAAGUGCCAUUGAUACUGGUAGUCUUGAGUACAGUAGAGGUAGGCGGAAUUUAUGGUGUAGCGGUGAAAUGCAUAGAUACCAUAAAGAACACCGAUAGCGAAGGCAGCUUACUAUACUGUAACUGACGCUGAGGCACGAAAGCGUGGGGAGCGAACAGGAUUAGAUACCCUGGUAGUCCACGCUGUAAACGAUGAAGACUCGCUGUUGGCGAUACACAGCCAGUGGCCAAGCGAAAGCGUUAAGUCUUCCACCUGGGGAGUACGAUCGCAAGAUUGAAACUCAAAGGAAUUGACGGAAU